This 62-nucleotide transfer RNA is filed under the name Psyllaephagus sp. RNAcentral's name for it is "tRNA-Ser". Lineage: Eukaryota; Metazoa; Arthropoda; Insecta; Hymenoptera; Encyrtidae. The record is from RNAcentral.
GAAAUAUUAAAAUUAAAUGAAUUUCUAAUUCAAUUUUUAAAUAUUAAAUUAUUUAUAUUUCU